RNAcentral lists this unclassified non-coding RNA (88 nucleotides) under Pseudomonas coleopterorum. Lineage: Bacteria; Pseudomonadati; Pseudomonadota; Gammaproteobacteria; Pseudomonadales; Pseudomonadaceae. The record is from RNAcentral.
UGUAGCAGCGGCGCGAGCCGCGUCGGCGGCCAAUGCGGUGUGUCUAGGUGACCGCAUUGACCGGGACGCGGCUCGCGCCGCUGCUACA